Molecule: ribosomal RNA, 544 nt
Filed under: uncultured bacterium
Lineage: Bacteria
Description: bacterial SSU rRNA
Rfam family: Bacterial small subunit ribosomal RNA
Source: RNAcentral
AAUAGAUACCCGGGUAGUCCACGCCGUAAACGAUGAGUGCUAAGUGUUAGGGGGUUUCCGCCCCUUAGUGCUGCAGCUAACGCAUUAAGCACUCCGCCUGGGGAGUACGGUCGCAAGACUGAAACUCAAAGGAAUUGACGGGGGCCCGCACAAGCGGUGGAGCAUGUGGUUUAAUUCGAAGCAACGCGAAGAGCCUUACCAGGUCUUGACAUCCCAUUGACCACUAUGGAGACAUAGUUUUCCCUUCGGGGACAACGGUGACAGGUGGUGCAUGGUUGUCGUCAGCUCGUGUCGUGAGAUGUUGGGUUAAGUCCCGCAACGAGCGCAACCCUUGUUCUUAGUUGCCAUCAUUUAGUUGGGCACUCUAAGGAGACUGCCGGUGACAAACCGGAGGAAGGUGGGGAUGACGUCAAAUCAUCAUGCCCCUUAUGACCUGGGCUACACACGUGCUACAAUGGACGGUACAAACGGUUGCCAACCCGCGAGGGGAGCUAAUCCGAUAAAACCGUUCUCAGUUCGGAUUGUAGGCUGCAACUCGCCUACA